GUGCUCACUUCGGCAGCACAUAUACUAAAAUUGGAACGAUACAGAGAUUAGCAUGGCCCCUGCACAAGGAUGACAUGCAAAUUCGUGAAGCAUUCCAUAUUUUU
Macaca fascicularis (crab-eating macaque) is the source of this 104-nucleotide small nuclear RNA. NCBI's taxonomy places the organism in Eukaryota, Metazoa, Chordata, Mammalia, Primates, Cercopithecidae. The record is from Ensembl.